Brienomyrus brachyistius is the source of this 1899-nucleotide long non-coding RNA. RefSeq lists it as uncharacterized. The record is from RefSeq and is a predicted model, not a curated record. Lineage: Eukaryota; Metazoa; Chordata; Actinopteri; Osteoglossiformes; Mormyridae. The transcript has 4 exons.
AACAUACAGUAAUUACCUGUGACACCCAUGGUGCACUGUGAGCAGGUAUACAGGCCCACAGAGCAUGCAGAUAAUUAUCUGUGACACCCAUGGUGCACUGUGAGCAGGUAUACAGGCCCACAGAGCAUGCAGAUAAUUAUCUGUGACACCCAUGGUGCACUGUGAGCAGGUAUACAGGCCCACAGAGCAUGCAGAUAAUUAUCUGUGACACUCAUUGUACACUUUGAGGAGGUAUACAGGCCCACAGAGCAUGCAGAUAAUUAUCUGUGACACCCAUGGUGCACUGUGAGCAGGUAUACAGGCCCACAGAGCAUGCAGAUAAUUAUCUGUGACACUCAUUGUAUACUGUGAGGAGGUAUACAGGCCCACAGAGCAUGCAGAUAAUUAUCUGUGACACCCAUGGUGCACUGUGAGCAGGUAUACAGGCCCACAGAGCAUGCAGAUAAUUAUCUGUGACACUCAUUGUACACUGUGAGGAGGUAUACAGGCCCACAGAGCAUGCAGAUAAUUAUCUGUGACACCCAUGGUGCACUGUGAGCAGGUAUACAGGCCCACAGAGCAUGCAGAUAAUUAUCUGUGACACUCAUUGUACACUGUGAGGAGGUAUACAGGCCCACAGAGCAUGCAGAUAAUUAUCUGUGACACCCAUGGUGCACUGUGAGCAGGUAUACAGUCCCACAGAGCAUGCAGAUAAUUAUCUGUGACACCCAUGGUGCACUGUGAGCUGGUAUACAGGCCAACAGAGCAUGCAGAUAAUUACCUGUGACACCCAUGGUGCACUGUGAGCUGGUAUACAGGCCAACAGAGCAUGCAGAUAAUUACCUGUGACACCCAUGGUGCACUGUGAGCAGGUAUACAGGCCAACAGAGCAUGCAGAUAAUUAUCUGUGACACCCAUGGUGCACUGUGAGCAGGUAUACAGGCCAACAGAGCAUGCAGAUAAUUAUCUGUGACACCCAUGGUGCACUGUGAGCAGGUAUACAGGCCAACAGAGCAUGCAGAUAAUUACCUGUGACACCCAUGGUGCACUGUGAGCAGGUAUACAGGCCAACAGAGCAUGCAGAUAAUUAUCUGUGACACCCAUGGUGCACUGUAAGCAGGUAUACAGGCCAACAGAGCAUGCAGAUAAUUACCUGUGACACCCAUGGUGCACUGUGAGCUGGUAUACAGUCCCACAGAGCAUACAGAUAAUUAUCUGUGACACCCAUGGUGCACUGUGAGCAGGUAUACAGGCCAACAGAGCAUGCAGAUAAUUACCUGUGACACCCAUGGUGCACUGUGAGCAGGUAUACAGGCCAACAGAGCAUGCAGAUAAUUAUCUGUGACACCCAUGGUGCACUGUGAGCAGGUAUACAGGCCAACAGAGCAUGCAGAUAAUUAUCUGUGACACCCAUGGUGCACUGUGAGCAGGUAUACAGGCCAACAGAGCAUGCAGAUAAUUAUCUGUGACACCCAUUGUACACUGUGAGCAGGUAUACAGGCCAACAGAGCAUGCAGAUAAUUACCUGUGACACCCAUGGUGCACUGUGAGCAGGUAUACAGGCCAACAGAGCAUGCAGAUAAUUACCUGUGACACCCAUGGUGCACUGUGAGCAGGUAUACAGGCCCACAGAGCAUGAAGAUAAUUAUCUAUGGCACCCAUAGUGCACUGUGAGCAGGUAUACAGGCCAACAGAGCAUGCAGAUAAUUAUCUGUGACACCCAUGGUGCACUGUGAGCAGGUAUACAGGCCAACAGAGCAUGCAGAUAAUUACCUGUGACACCCAUGGUGCACUGUGAGCAGGUAUACAGGCCCACAGAGCAUGCAGAUAAUUAUCUGUGACACCCAUGGUGCACUGUGAGCAGGUAUACAGGCCAACAGAGCAUGCAGAUAAUUAUCUGUGACACCCAUGGUGUACUGU